GGAGGUAUAGCUCAGUGGUAGAGUGUACGCCUAGCAUGCAUGCAGUCCUGGGUUCAAUCCCCAGUACAUCCG
Molecule: transfer RNA, 72 nt
Filed under: Camelus bactrianus (Bactrian camel)
Lineage: Eukaryota; Metazoa; Chordata; Mammalia; Artiodactyla; Camelidae
Also listed under: 2 other names
Rfam family: tRNA
About the family: Transfer RNA (tRNA) molecules are approximately 80 nucleotides in length. Their secondary structure includes four short double-helical elements and three loops (D, anti-codon, and T loops).
Source: Rfam by way of RNAcentral